Molecule: long non-coding RNA, 941 nt
Filed under: Ananas comosus (pineapple)
Lineage: Eukaryota; Viridiplantae; Streptophyta; Magnoliopsida; Poales; Bromeliaceae
Description: long non-coding RNA (ACOM_LNC020434)
Source: RNAcentral
CGGAUACGCAAUCAAUUCGCUUAAAGCGUACAGAUACAGCGCCUAAGGUCUCGAUUGUGACUCGGCUCAUCCAACCUCACACCACUUCGAACAUGACUCAGCCCACCUAGCCUCACGCCAUUUCGAACAUGACUCGAACCAAUAUAGCGUCUCGCCAUAAGCUAGGAUACUGGCCCAUUUAAGCCAACAAUCCUCCAUCCAGCACUUGCACAUAUUUGCAGCAUGCGUGAAUCGAACUCGUGACCUCUGGCUCUAAUAUCACUUGUCGAAUCGUUGGCGUUAACCAUUAAUCCCAAAAGUUCGAGCAGUUAGAAAUACAGAACCAAUUCACUUAAAGCAUACAAAUACAGCGCCCAUGAGUCUCGAUUGUGACUCGGCCCAUCCAGCCUACACCACUUCAAACAUGACUCGACCCAUCUAGCCUCACGCUUUUUCGAACAUGACUCGGUGCAACAUAAUCUCCCACUAUAAGACAGAAUGCUGGCCCAUUUAAGCCAACAAAACUUAUUAUGAAAUAUAAUUAAUCAAAGAAAUUCUUUCAAAUACAACUUAAAUACAAUUAAGAUUGUGAGCUAAUCUUAUGGUGAUGUCAUUUGAGCAUGUCCAAGCAGGAGAUUUGGCCGAAGAUGUGCAUAUAGUUUGGGACAGACGGAGUGGAAGGAUGGGGUCUCAGUCCAUAAGCGAUGGUUUAGCUGGACUAAUUGCCUGUUGGUGGGUUAUUUGGGAGACUAGGAAUGGUGUGAUCUUUAGGAGGAAUCAAACUGAUCCAAUUCGUAGUUGUUAUAAGGUUAAACAGCUGACGUCCCUGUGGGGGAAUCUUCGCCCUAUGGAGAAACACUGAUUUUUUUUUCUUUUCCCGUCUUUGUCUGGCUUUUCAUCUCUUUAGAGGCCUUGUGCCUCACCCAUGUAGCUAAGUUCAUAUCCUGAAUGAAUGAAGUGGG